CAACUCUCGGCAACGGAUAUCUCGUCUCUCGCAUCAAUAAAGAACAUAGCGAAAUACAAUACUUGGUGUGAAUUGCAGAAUCCCGCGAACCAUCGAGUUUUUGAACGCAAGUUGUGCCUGAAACCAUCAAGCUGAGGGCACGCCUGCCUAGGCGUCACG
RNAcentral lists this ribosomal RNA (159 nucleotides) under Acacia glaucocaesia. RNAcentral's name for it is "5.8S ribosomal RNA". It matches the Rfam family "5.8S ribosomal RNA". Rfam says of the family: 5.8S ribosomal RNA (5.8S rRNA) is a component of the large subunit of the eukaryotic ribosome. It is transcribed by RNA polymerase I as part of the 45S precursor that also contains 18S and 28S rRNA. Functionally, it is thought that 5.8S rRNA may be involved in ribosome translocation. The record is from RNAcentral. Lineage: Eukaryota; Viridiplantae; Streptophyta; Magnoliopsida; Fabales; Fabaceae.